UCAUGGAAUAAAUCAAAGUCGAAAAAUACGAACUACAGUUUAAAACUUAAAGAUUUUGGCGGUGUCUUAUCGUACCAGGGGAACCUGUCUCAUAACUCGAUAAUCCACGAACCUCUUACCUUUUCUAGCCAUCCAGCUUGUGUACUGCCGUCGUAAGCACACCUCUAAAAGAACGAGUAUGCAAUUAUGAUUCUCUCAUUUACGUCAGGUCAAAGUGCAGCUUAUGAGAAGGUGAUGAUGGGUUACACCCUAAACAAAGAUACGGAAUAUGAUAUUAAAAGUCACAUGAAGGAGGACUUGGGCGUAAUAGUGACCUAAAUUCACAAUGAAACCGAAUCUAAGACAUGCACACAUCGCCCGUCACUCUCGCCUAAAGGCG
RNAcentral lists this ribosomal RNA (379 nucleotides) under Allolobophora chlorotica. RNAcentral's name for it is "partial 12S ribosomal RNA". It matches the Rfam family "Bacterial small subunit ribosomal RNA", at positions 875 to 1415 of the family's 1533-position model. The record is from RNAcentral. Lineage: Eukaryota; Metazoa; Annelida; Clitellata; Crassiclitellata; Lumbricidae.